UAGGCAACCAUACCACACCAACACUAAGUGGAGCAAUUAAGAAGAAGAUUCUACCAUUGGAAAUGUUAGUUGAGCCAAUGCUCCAAUUUUGCCUGCAAAUUUCAUCAUCCAAGCCCUUGCACAAGCAUGCAACAUUGAUGGAGUCACUGCACAGUGUAAAGCCUCUGGUUCUCCUCUACCUGCUCCAGGCCCUGCUAUUCUUGGAUCAAACGGCCCAGCUACCCCACCCAUUGCCAAUUUUCGUACAAGUCCACAAGCUUCAAAAAUGCAAUUGGCAGCAUCAACAGAAGAUGAAGAAGCAGAAGCACCAUCAAAUCCUCCACUUUCUUCACCUUCUCAUCCAUCUUAUGUUGUUUCCAUCUCCCCUUUUGCAUUAUUCCUAUUCAUAGGACUUGUUCUUUCUGCCACCUAUUAACUCAAAUCAACUGUAAUAGUUUCUAUCUUCUUGUAAUAAUAAUAUUGGG
Molecule: long non-coding RNA, 464 nt
Filed under: Lupinus mutabilis
Lineage: Eukaryota; Viridiplantae; Streptophyta; Magnoliopsida; Fabales; Fabaceae
Description: partial ncRNA
Source: RNAcentral